CCUACGGGAGGCAGCAGUGAGGAAUAUUGGUCAAUGGACGCAAGUCUGAACCAGCCAUGCCGCGUGCAGGAAGACGGCUCUAUGAGUUGUAAACUGCUUUUGUACGAGGGUAAACCCCGAUACGUGUAUCGGGUUGAAAGUAUCGUACGAAUAAGGAUCGGCUAACUCCGUGCCAGCAGCCGCGGUAAUACGGAGGAUCCGAGCGUUAUCCGGAUUUAUUGGGUUUAAAGGGUGCGUAGGCGGUUUGAUAAGUUAGAGGUGAAAGGUCGGGGCUCAACCCCGAAACUGCCUUUGAUACUGUUAGACUAGAGAAUAGUUGCGGUAGGCGGAAUGUAUGGUGUAGCGGUGAAAUGCUUAGAGAUCAUACAGAACUCCGAUUGCGAAGGCAGCUUACCAAACUAUAUCUGACGUUGAGGCACGAAAGCGUGGGUAGCAAACAGGAUUAGAUACCCCGGUAGUC
This 460-nucleotide ribosomal RNA is filed under the name uncultured bacterium. RNAcentral's name for it is "partial 16S ribosomal RNA". It matches the Rfam family "Bacterial small subunit ribosomal RNA", at positions 338 to 795 of the family's 1533-position model. The record is from RNAcentral.